Molecule: ribosomal RNA, 290 nt
Filed under: uncultured fungus
Lineage: Eukaryota; Fungi
Description: partial 18S ribosomal RNA
Rfam family: Eukaryotic small subunit ribosomal RNA
Source: RNAcentral
CCUUAACCUGCUAAAUAGCCAGGCCGGCUUUUGCUGGUGGCAGACUUUUUAGAGGGACUGUCAGGGUUUAGCGGACGGAAGUUUGAGGCAAUAACAGGUCUGUGAUGCCCUUAGAUGUUUUGGGCCGCACGCGCGCUACACUGACAGAGCCAGCGAGUUCUCACCUUGGCCGGAAGGUCUGGGUAAUCUUGUGAAACUUUGUCGUGCUGGGGAUAGAGCAUUGCAAUUAUUGCUCUUCAACGAGGAAUUCCUAGUAAGCGUGAGUCAUCAGCUCGCGUUGAUUACGUCCC